Long non-coding RNA from Serinus canaria (Common canary), 4190 nucleotides. RefSeq lists it as uncharacterized. Lineage: Eukaryota; Metazoa; Chordata; Aves; Passeriformes; Fringillidae. The record is from RefSeq and is a predicted model, not a curated record. The transcript has 3 exons.
UUCCUGACCCAAAAUGGUUUGAGGGGCUGUGUUUCUCCUGCCUGGGAGGGAGCUGAUUAUACUUGUGGUGGUUUUCCCUGGAUUUAUUUUUUUGGUUUCUUCACCAGGUGGAACAGGGAUGGUUUUCUUUAGAGGUAAGUGUUAAAAAGAAGAUCUCUCUCUGGGAAUUUCUGUUUUCAGGACAGAGGGGACUCUGUUACCCUGAGGUUACAGAGUCCAAGCCAAGCAGCAUUGUGCCUGAAGGAUCCACCUGUGCCUGCUGCUUUUGCAAUCAAUGCUCAAUCUUUCAGUGCCACUCCAAAUUUGUAUUCUCAGAGCAGCAGGGCUGCCUGGUGUUGUGAUACCUGGGAGUGAGGAGAGGGAUUUCUCCUUGCAGAGCUGUCGUGCUGUGCCUGUAAACGCUGCCUUAAAGCAGGGAUACAUCUCUGUAUCCUUAAUGCCUGCUAAAUAUUCAGGAAUGACCAGAUGCUCUCCCAAGGGAAUGCUUUGACUGUAUGGCUCAAGCUAAAGGAGAAACUUCAAAAAAACUCCUGCAAAUGGAGAGGCAGUUCUGGUUCCAGACAGUGGAAGUGCAGUGAGUUUUUCCAGUUGCGGCGCUGGUAAUAAGUGGUGCAUAAAAUUCCAUCUUCGUUUGGAUUAGAAAAUAAAUUAUUAAUGGCACUGAAUCCUUUUUUCCUGCUCCCUGUACAGUCAAUAAUUUAUUGUGGCACAGGCAUAGGAUAUAUAUUUUUAACCAUCCGCCUCCCAGAGUGGUGUUGUUCGUGUUGGGAAGUGCUGUCCUUGCUGGCAGGCUGGGCGCAGUGGCUGUUUCCUGCAUUAUGGAUGAGCAGUUCCCCAGCAGCUUUCCUGCUGAAAGGGAGCCGAGCCCUCCAUUAGAAAUUCACACCAGUGCCUUUGUUCCCUCCCUUUCACCCAACGUGGGCGGUGUACAGCGCCGUGAACUCGAUUUUGGAGUGUUUUAAUAGAAAACCUCAAUGUUUACAGUUGGUGUUGCCUUUUCCCUUUUAUCCACCAUCUCCAGGUAGAAAAUCUGUGCUGCCAGCGCCGUGCCUUGGCAGCUGGGCUGUGCUCAUUAACACUCGGAGCCGGCUGUCGCCUUCAUCCUCCCCUUGCUGCCAGGCGUGUGCUGCAGCUCUGCCCUGCUCCAUCCCCGCCUGGCGCAGCCCUUCCCGUGUUCUUUGUUCCUAAUGGGACCCUGAGGCUUUGCUAACCCAGAUUCCAGAGCGCUCCGAGCGAGGCAGGAGGAGCCUGGCUGGAAAUCAGAGCCUCUGCCCCCCUGGUGCAGCCUUUGCCAUCCUCUCCUCGCGGGUUGUUUUCUGGUUGUCUUGGUUUUGGCACCCCGUGGAUUUGGAGAGGUCUCCUGCCAUCGGGGCUGUUCAGAUCUUACAUCUUGUGUUGCUUUGCUCACUGCACUGCCCAUCCAAUUCUCCCUUCAUUCCUGUUCAGCUUCAUGUAGACAUUUCAAAGACAGUUCUCAUUUUUUUGGAUUUCUUUUUUUUUUUGGUUUCAUAAUUUUCCUUUCUUUCUUAAAAAUGCACCCUUUGAGCUCCAGAAGGGUUGUCCAGGGUGAUUGGAGCUUAUCAACCAAAGGCAAACCUGAAGGAAAUUCACUGAUAACCACUGAGGUGCACAAGCACAGCGUGGGGCUCUCCCCCAAAUGCUGCAAGCAGGGAGGGUUUCAAUGGUUUAUUUCUUCUCUUAUCUCCCUUGCCCAGACCCCUCUGUCUGAUGCAGAGUUCUUGGAAGUGGGGACAAUAUUCUUCAUCCUUUGUCUUCCUAAAGCUGCACUGAAAAUAGCAGCUCCUCUCUGCAGGUUGCAAAGCCCCAUUGAGCUGCCAGCUGUACAGUGGAAACUUCCCCAAGAUGUUCAUGGUGCCUGUGCCUGGGCAUGUCAUCUGCUACAGAGCCUCCUGCUCCAGGGCUGUGCUGAGCUGGCUUCUUCCAGGGUGAAAUGCUGCUGAAACCUCAGGUUUUUAAAGGGAGCCUUUUCUAAAGACUCUGCAGGAUGCUCAGGAAUGUUGCAGGUGUAAAAAGAAAUCGUGAGUAGCUGGGAAAGUGCUGAUCAGGUGGGCACACAAACCACAAUUUAUUACAUUAAAAAGUGACUGGACCCUGCAAGGACUUUGUUCCCACUGGAAAUUGGUGGGAUCCUUUGUGUGUCCCCCACUUUAAGUGUCAGGGGAGGCUGGAAUGACCCUGGGGCUUGGUCAGAACAACACCCAAGUGCAGGAGGGGGGACAUGUGGAUAUUUCCCUGCUGUGCUGUAAAUGCAGUUUCCUCUAGGUCAGGCAUGUAUCACCAGGGCUAAAUUUACUUCAAAAUAUUACUGAGGUGGGGAGGUUUGUGACUCAGGUCUAUAAAAGCAUGCACUGCUUAUGUAAAGAAAGAAGUUUGGAAAGAGGCAGGAGGGGGCUCAGGCUCCAGCAGGGACCACUGCUGGUGUGUGUCUGCCCUCUCUGCACAAAUAGGUCUUUGUACUGGGAGCAACUGCACCUCCAGCCUGUGUGUUCCUGGCAGCAGGGUCUGCUGGCCAGCUCUUCCUGUGUUUCCAAACAUUUCAGCAAAUGUAAAUAAUUGCCAAGCCUACGCUUUGGCUUAGAUGAAAUUGUGUUAAAAUAAAAACCAACAAACACAGUGGGAUGAGCAGUUCUUGUAAUAGUUCAGGGUGAGUUCAGAUCGAGUUGUGCCACCCUGGGAGGGCUAAGGAGGGAUUCUGUUGGGGGGAUUUAGGAAUUUGGAUCCUUUCCAUUCACUCAGGUGCAUGUGUGUGUGUUUGGUCUGGGAAAACCUGAGUUCCUGGAGUCAGCUUUGCCAGGGCAGGCAGGGUUGGCCAUCCUGCAGCACCACCAGCAUCCUCAGGUCUAACCACAGCCACAUCCCAGGGGAAUGAGCCUCUCCCACUCCUCCUGAGGAAAUGGGGCUCCUUACCUCAGCAGCCAAGCUCCUUCUGCAGUCGUGGUGCCCCUGGGAGGUGAGUGCUGGUGGUCUGGGAGUUCUGGGCAGGGGAAGAAGAGCUGUUAACUCAUUUUUUAGGACAAUUCAGCUUAUACCCACUAUGGUUUGCAGUCAAAAAUCAAGGUAGAAAUAGAGCAUUGCUUUAAAGACAGGAGCUCCUUUCAUUUUCCUGCUGUUUGCUGCAUACCUGGGCCAGCUGCUCCAGACCAGUGAGGAAUUACAGCACAGGGUGUCAGGGACUGGCUUAUUUGUCUGCCCAUCUGGGGCUGAUGAAAUGAUCCAUCUGCAUUGAUCCUUGCUGGGAAGGAGGAUAAAGCAAGGGCUUUAUGAAAUUGUACCUGAGAUCAAAUAAUUGGAAGAAAAGGCUUGGGAAUCCUCAGGCUGUAAUUAAACAUUUCCAGGAGGCAGCGAGGUGCAGUGAGCUCAGCAGAAGGAGCAUUUUGCUGGGAAGUCUUUGCUUUGCUUCAUGCUGUGUGCUAUUAAAGCAAACAACUUCACAAGCCUCAGAAGCACUGGCAGCUCUUGACCAAGAAUAGCAUCUCACAUCACAGCUAAGCUGGAAACAAUGAGGGCCAGCAGUUGUCAGUUGGUUGGGCUUUUUUAGCCCAUAAACGAGGUAGCUGAGCUCAUGGAGAAAUCCCCAUUUCUCUAUUUUAGGUGUUCUAAGAGGUGUCACCUUCUGAGGAUCCAGCAAUAAAGCAGAAGCCCUGAUUUAAAGCAGAUCUGCUGGUGCAAUUCCCACUUACCUGGGCACGCCAGGCUCACCUCCAACACACAAAUCCCAAAUCCUCACCACCUAACCCAAGCUUGUGCAAGGUCUACCAAACUUGUCUGACUAAAGAAUUCCUCUGAGAUGUGACAGAAACAUCCACCAUGUGGGAUCAUGUGGAAUCCCCAGCCCUGGGAGGCUCAAAGGCACAAGGAUGUGGCACCUGGGGACGUGCUCAGUCUUCUGGCUUGCUGAAUGCUUUCAGCAAUGCACAAAGAAGGUUGAAGAUGCUUUAAAGCAGCCUCAGACUCCUGGGCUGGGAUGCAAGUGGCAUCUGCUCCUUCAAGGUUGUCCCCACCAAGAGCCCUCGGUGCCUUUUGUUGCUCACAGGACAGAUAAAUGUGGCUCUUCAGAGGUGCCCUGCAAGCCCAGCUGUGCAGACAGUGAUGCCUCUGGCUCUGCUGGGUGGGGAGAUGCUGUGGCUGAGUGACAGAGGCUUUGUGCAAAGCCAGCCUUGGUGUGAAAC